Molecule: unclassified non-coding RNA, 3178 nt
Organism: Megachile rotundata (alfalfa leafcutting bee)
Lineage: Eukaryota; Metazoa; Arthropoda; Insecta; Hymenoptera; Megachilidae
Source: RefSeq, a predicted model, not a curated record
AUAAUUCUACCGACAAAAAUGUGGAAAGGAAUAUAAAAUUAAGUUUUCACAUAUUUGUGUAUAAACAUCUAACAAUGAAAAUAUACGUUCCAUCGAAUAUUUGAUAAAAACUAACAUAAAUCAGUUAAUAGAUUAAAAAGAUUAUGUUCAUACGUAUACAAAUAUCAAAUACUAACCAAAUAAUAUGAAAUAUCAAUUGUACAAAGUAUAAUUUAUAAUUAAAGAAUUACUAUUUUAAUCUAAUAAUAUAUUUAGUAAAAUGUACUGCCAAUACAACUUUAAGGCUGUCAAAAGAUCAAGUAUAUUUUUAUGCUAACUAUAUUUUUGUAAAUAGUAAAACAUAAAUUAUGUAAUUUCUAUUUUGCAAGAAUGUAUUGUUUAUUACGUUCUUGUUUUCAAAAAUGUGUUCAUUUAAUAAGAAAGAUCAAAUUAAAGUAUGUCUGCAUUUGUAUUGGUCUUGUCGCAGUGCUUGAUUUUUUUGGUGUAUUCACACAUAUGUUUGAAAUUACAUAUGAUUCAAAUUUUGUGUAUCCAUAUGAAGGUGACAUUCAUGAAUUUGUAAAUGCAUUACGACAUAAUGAAAAACCUGUUGUUGAUCCUAUAAAUGAUUAUAAUUUUUCAUUUUUGAUUGAUAAUCAUGAAAAAUGCAUAGAAACUCCUCGCACUACUUUUCGUGUUGUAUAUAUAGUGAAAUCUGCAGUAGAACAUUUUGAAAGAAGGUCAGCAAUUAGAAAUUCUUGGGGUUUUGAAAAACGAUUCUUUGAUGUACCUUCAAAAACAGUUUUUAUGUUAGGCAUAUCUCCCUCUGAUGAAAUUCAAGCAAAAGUAAAAGUUGAAGCUGCAACAUACAAAGAUAUUAUACAAGCAAAUUUUAUAGAUACAUAUUAUAAUAAUACUAUAAAAACUAUGAUGAGUUUUAAAUGGUUAAUAAAACGCUGCUUGAAUUCAAAGUUUUAUAUGUUUGUUGAUGAUGAUAUAUAUGUUUCGGUAAAAAAUGUUUUAAGAUUUAUAAGAAACCCAACUAAUUAUCCUAGUUAUUUGAAAGAACCCAAGAAAUUUGAAGCUCAUAAGAGGGAAAUCAAAGAUAGUGAUAUCAGAGAAGAACCAUAUAUUAAUGAUACUGUUAUACAAAAAAAUGUUCAUAUAUUGAAUAAGCACGAUUUACCUAUGUACAACAACUUAAAAGAGAAGAUUACUGCAGAAAAAAUUAUUCAUGGAUCAGAAGAAAAAUCUCUAUAUAACAGUCUAAAUACAAUUUCUUCAAUUAUUACCAAUUUUACAGAGAAAGAUAGGGAUAGUAAUAAAACUAUGAUGAAUGAACCUUUUAGAGUGAAAAGACAAAUUUUUGAUUUUGAACUUCCAGAAGAUGUUAGACUAUUUGCAGGAUUUGUAUUUGUCUCUUCACCACAUCGUCACAAAUCUUCUAAAUGGAUUCACUGGAAAUUUAAUUUAAAUCAUCGCAACCUCUACAACAGAACCUAAACAAACGGUUCAGUUUUGGCGCGGAAUUUGGAAAAAAAUUUCUUUCGACGCAUGCGCGCUUGUCAUUACAAAAUUAUAAUUCAAAAAUUAACAAAGCAGUCACACUUUUUAAUAACUACUAACAUUCAUACAUAGACAAUUAACAAAUGGAUGAUAUGAUGCGUAGCUGUACAUGUGACAAUAUAACGCACGGUGGUAAAGAUGGUAAUAUAAUGUAUGGCGAUAUAACGCGUGGUAAUAUAACAUAGAAUAAUAAAAUAGUAAGAUGAGUCAGAUUUUGUGUAAAUAGAUAAACACUGUUUAACUUAAGUAGUAAGUUAAGCAUUUAUUAAAUAAAUAAAAAUAAAAUUAACAUCAUAACAUUGUUAAUAACGAACACCUGUAUAUAAAGCAAUUUUCUAAUGUAUACUUAUUUUUACAAACUGACAAAUAAUUGUUGACAUUUAAAAUAUGACUUUUUUGUAACAACAAAAUAUUGCAUCUCUACAAACAUGUAGCUUGCUGCCUUGCCUUUUAAAGGCGUCACGAAACGUUUUCGAUUAGCAAGGUGCAAUAAAUGCACCUUUCGCUCAGGAUCUUUACGCCAACGUGAAAGCCUUCGAAACGCAGUUGUAUUCUGCACGCAUUCAUCGAUCGAAUGCGAAUAAGUCAGUAUCUUAUAAGUUGCUCUUAAAAUCAUUCUGCGUGUGUCUUUUAAAUUAAAAAGCAAGAGUGUUUUAUUAAAUAGUAUAACAUACCAAAUAUUGCACGAAUACAUAAUCAAGUGACAAUUAUGUUCCAGUAUUAUUUUGUGUUUAGUCGACGUUUUGUGACAAGAAAAAGACGUUUCGUACACACAUACGAAUUUACUAGUAUAUAAAAUACGACGAAUAAAAUUUACUUUCAACAAGUUUCUUUAACAUGAGUAUUUAACACAGAUAGAUCAUUGGAAAAAAAUUAAUUGAAAGCAGUUAACAUUUGGUUGCAAAUUGACACGAUUUACGGCGCUUGCGUAGGUAAAACUUUCAACAUAAUGCUUUCGAGUUUUCGUAAUACCAAAAAUUUAAUGUUUAAUAAAUAAUAGACUUCAAAAGGAUGAAAAAUGAAAAUGAAAAAUUGUUAGAAAUAAGAGUAACGAGAGAAAAUAACUUGAUCUUAAUUUUUUGGAUUAUUGAUUUGAUAAAGUUUAGUUAAGUACGAAUAGAAGUUUUUUUGCAAGUGGAAUAAAAAUUUGUUAUGUAAAAUGUUAGAAACAUAUGUUGGUAAAAUCUAAGCAAUCUACAUAUAACAAACAAUAGAUCGAAGAUAAUAGUUACAUGUAGGAUGAUUUUGUUUUCAUUUGAAGAUGCAUACGACCUUCGCAAAUGACAUCAUGUCACCAAAUUAGGAUUUCUUUGCUGACACAAGCAUAUUGGCGGCUAGGCCGUACGACUGAAAGAUUUUAUGAUAAUUAAAUGAUUUCAUUUACAGACAAGCCUAUUUCUUCUUUAUUGUUCUCAUUUAAUUUAAAAAAAGCACUUCAUACAUUUAUUUUAUAAAUAGUAAUUAUGUAUAAUUAGAAAGUUACAUUUAUACCUUACAUUAAACAUUAGUAUUAUUAUUAAAAUUCAGUUUCCUGUAACUAGUAUGUAUACAAAUAUGUACAUAAAUGUAUAAUAUAUGACACAGUUUGUUGAAAAAUACUACUUUUGUAAACAGAAUAUAUAAGUACUUGUUU